GCACGAAACUUGCCCCGAGAUGAGUUCUCCCUGAGACUUAGAGUCUCCUGAAGGAACGUUGAAGACGACGACGUUGAUAGGCCGGGUGUGUAAGCGCAGCGAUGCGUUGAGCUAACCGGUACUAAUGAACCGUGAGGCUUAACCUU
This 146-nucleotide ribosomal RNA is filed under the name Salmonella enterica. RNAcentral's name for it is "partial 23S ribosomal RNA". It matches the Rfam family "Bacterial large subunit ribosomal RNA", at positions 2785 to 2925 of the family's 2925-position model. The record is from RNAcentral. Lineage: Bacteria; Pseudomonadati; Pseudomonadota; Gammaproteobacteria; Enterobacterales; Enterobacteriaceae. RNAcentral also lists the same sequence under 1 other name.